GUCAUUUGGGAUCUUGUUAAAAUGCAGAUUCUGAUUAAAUGAAUUUGACAUAGGUCUGAGAUUUUGCAUUUUUAACAAGCUCCCAGGUGAUGCGUA
Molecule: microRNA precursor, 96 nt
Filed under: Erinaceus europaeus (western European hedgehog)
Lineage: Eukaryota; Metazoa; Chordata; Mammalia; Eulipotyphla; Erinaceidae
Description: mir-544 microRNA precursor family
Rfam family: mir-544 microRNA precursor family
Source: Rfam by way of RNAcentral